CCCUUAGAUGUUCUGGGCUGCACGCGCGCUACACUGAAGCUAUCAACACGUUUUCCCUCCCUGAGAAGGGCGGGUAACCUUUUGAAUCAGCUUCGUGGUAGGGAUCGGGGCUUGCAAUUGUUCCCCGUGAACCAGGAAUUCCUAGUAGACGCGAGUCAUAAGCUCGCAUCGAUUAAGUCCCUGCCCUUUGUACACACCGACCGUCGCUACUACCGAUUGAACGUUUUAGUGAGGCAUUUGGACCGACGCAUCUCAGUUUAACCGCUGGUUUGUGUUGGAAAGACUUCCAAACUUGAGCGUUUAGAGGAAGUAAAAGUCGUAACA
This 324-nucleotide ribosomal RNA is filed under the name uncultured eukaryote. RNAcentral describes it as "partial 18S ribosomal RNA". It matches the Rfam family "Eukaryotic small subunit ribosomal RNA", at positions 1470 to 1796 of the family's 1831-position model. The record is from RNAcentral.